AACCUCUGCAAUAGGCGAAAGCCUGACAGGGUUACUCUGAGUGAUUUCCGUUAAGGAGAUCUUUCGGCAUCUCUAAAAAUGGUGCAGAAUAAGGGGUGGGCAAGUCUGGUGUCAGCCGCCGCGGUAAUACCAGCACCCCGAGUGGUCGGGACGUUUAUUGGGCCUAAAGCAUCCGUAGCCGGUUCUACAAGUCUUCCGUUAAAUCCAGCUGCUUAACAGAUGGGCCGCGGAAGAUACUAUGGAGCUAGGAGGCGGGAGAGGCAAGCGGUACUCGAUGGGUAGGGGUAAAAUCCGUUGAUCCAUUGAAGACCACCAGUGGUGAAGGCGGCUUGCCAGAACGCGCUCGACGGUGAGGGAUGAAAGCUGGGGGAGCAAACCGGAUUAGAUACCCGGGUAGUCCCAGCUGUAAACGAUGCAGACUCGGUGAUGAGUUGGCUACAUGCCAUCUCAGUGCCGCAGGGAAGCCGUUAAGUUUGCCGCCUGGGGAGUACGGUCGCAAGACUGAAACUUAA
RNAcentral lists this ribosomal RNA (512 nucleotides) under uncultured archaeon. RNAcentral's name for it is "bacterial SSU rRNA". It matches the Rfam family "Archaeal small subunit ribosomal RNA", at positions 345 to 859 of the family's 1478-position model. The record is from RNAcentral.